This 253-nucleotide ribosomal RNA is filed under the name uncultured bacterium. RNAcentral's name for it is "partial 16S ribosomal RNA". It matches the Rfam family "Bacterial small subunit ribosomal RNA", at positions 524 to 774 of the family's 1533-position model. The record is from RNAcentral.
UACGUAGGGUGCAAGCGUUAAUCGGAAUUACUGGGCGUAAAGCGUGCGCAGGCGGUUUCGUAAGUCUGUCGUGAAAUCCCCGGGCUUAACCUGGGAAUGGCGAUGGAGACUGCGAGGCUAGAGUUUGGCAGAGGGGGGGUAGAAUUCCACGUGUAGCAGUGAAAUGCGUAGAGAUGAUGGAGGAACACCAAUGGCGAAGGCAGCCCCCUGGGUCAAAACUGACGCUCAUGCACGAAAGCGUGGGGAGCAAACA